AGAGCAUACAGCGAAUGCCUUGGGAGUAGAUGCCGAUGAAGGACGUGGUACACUGCGAUAAGUGUGGAUAAGGUGUGUGCAACCGUUAACAGUCCACAAUGUCCGAAUGGAACAAUCCAACUAAGAUAAUACUUAGUAGAACUGGAGUAGUAUCCAGAAUGCGGCAACCUGCUGAAGUGAAACAUCUCAGUAAGCAGAGGAAAAAAGACAGACAUGUAAUUCCCCUAGUAGUGGCGAGCGAACGGGGAGAAGCCAAAAACCUAUGUAGUUUUUUUAGUUGAUGACUAAGUUUUCUUCGGAAAACCCAAAAUUGACUAAAAACCCGGUCAGGGGCAUAAACGCAUUAAGGGGUUGUGGGAAAUUAUGUUCUAACCUGAUUGUUAGAGAAUUGGUCUACAAAUUUAUUAAUCAGCAAAAUUACUUGGAAAAGUAAGCAAAAUUGGGUGAUAGCCCCGUAUGCUAAAAUUAGUAAAUACCAGUUGAUAAUUAUCCCAAGUACAACAAAAGCAUCGAGAAGUUUUGUUGGAAUCAUCCGUGACUACGCGGAAAGGCUAAAUACAUCUACUCACCGAUAGUGAACAAGUACAGUGAUGGAAAGGUGAAAAGUACUCCGGAUAGGAGAAUGAAAUAGUCCCUGAAACUGUAUGCUUACAAUGAGUGGAAGUGGGUAUUUAUAUCCAUAACCACGUGCCUAUUGAAGAAUGAUCUAACGAGUUAGCACUGCAAGGCAAGGUUAAAAUCGAGAGUGAUUGUAGCCGCUAGUGAAAGCGAGGGUUAACUGCCCGUUUUAGUCUUGUGGUCUAUACCCGAAACCCAGUGAGCUACCCAUGAGCAGAUUGAGAAUAGUGUAAAAACUAUUGGAGGAUCGUACCGUUAAGGGCUGCAAACCUUUCGGAUGACUUGUGGGUAGAGGAGAAAUUCCAAUCGAACUGGGUAAUAGCUGGUUCUCGCUGAAAUGCCUUUAGAGGCAGCGUUAAUUAAAAACUUGUGGGAGGUAGAGCUACUGAAAGAGUAGUGGGGGUAACUUCAUUAUUCUAAUAAACUCCAAAUUCCUGCGUAGUGUUCAUUAACAGUGAGACGGUGGGAUCUAAGUUUCAUCGUCAAGAGGGGAAGAGCCCAGAUCGUCGUUUAAGGCCCCUAAAUCUAUGCUAUAGUGUAAAAGAGGUGGGAUUGCUCAUACAACCAGGAGGUUGGCUUAGAAGCAGCCAUCCUUUAAAGAAAGCGUAACAGCUCACUGGUCAAGCGAUCCUGCGCUGACAAUGUAUGGGACUCAAGCAUAGUGCCGAAAACACGAAAUUUAACUAUAAUUUAUUAUUUUUAAAUUGGUAAGCGAGCGUUCUAUAACCACUGAAGCAUAAGAGGUAACUCAGUGUGGAGGUUAUAGAAGUGAGAAUGUUAGAAUAAGUAACAAAUGAUGUAAAGUGAAAAACUUUACCACCAAAAAUUCAAGGUUUCCUACGCUACGGUUUUCGUCGUAGGGUAAGUCGAGCCUUAGAGGUAUUUCUAAUGGAAUGCCUUGAUGGACAUAUGGUUAAAAUUCCAUAACUAAAUAAAGAUGUGAUGAAUAACAUAAUCUGGUAAGCUUAGCGGUUUUUGGCUAUUGCCGUUGGUAUUUUUAGGUAAUUGUCUAAUAAAAAAUUUGUUAGACUUGAUAAGUGUUCCAAUAGGAAAAUACUAUCUUACUGAGAAAUAACAAAAUGUGCUUGCAUAAAUUAGGCUGAUCCAAGUUAUCAAGAAAAAAUUCUAAACUUAGUUUUUAUUUAUCCGUACCGCAAACCAACAAAGGUGAAUGAGUAGAGAAUACUAAGGUGAACGGGAUAACAAUAGGUUAGGGAACUCGGCAAAAAAUCGGUCGUAACUUCGGAAUAAGACCUGCCCGCAAGGGUUGCAACAAAAGACUUGGAACUGACUGUUUAACAAAAACUUAGCUCCGUGCUAACUCCAAAAGAGGAUGUAUACGGGGUGAUGCCUGGCCAGUGUCGGAAGGUCAAACAGAGUGGCGCAAGCUACUUUGCCAAGCCCCGAUGAACGCCGGCAGUAACUAUAACUGUCCUAUGGUAGCGAAAUUCCUUGGCACAUAAGUAGUGUCCCGCACGAAUGGCAUAACAAGUUCCAAACUGUCCCAACCAUUGACCCGGUGAAUUUACAAAGGGAGUGAAGAUGCUCUCUACCCGCACUAAGACGAAAAGACCCUAUGAAGCUUUACUAUAGGUUGUUGUUGUUAUUUAAUUUUACUUGCUCAGAAUAGCUGGGAAACUUUGAAACUUAGAUUUCGGUCUAAUGGAGUUACCGUUGAGAUACCAGCCUAGUAUUAUUAAAUAACUUACUUGAGCGUAACUAGCUCGAGGACAGCGGCUGCCGGGUAGUUUAACUGGGGCGGUUGCCUCCUAAAUUGUAACGGAGGCGUCUAAAGGUUGGCUUAGCCUGGAUGGAAAUCAGGCUUUAAAGUACAAAAGCAUAAGCCAGCUUAACUGCAAAACUUACACGUUGCGCAGAUGCGAAAGCAGAGUUUAGUGAUCCGAUGCGUUCAUGUGGAUGACGCAAAGCUCAACGGAUAAAAGUUACUCUAGGGAUAACAGGCUGAUCCUACCCAAGCGCUCACAGCGACGGUAGGGUUUGGCACCUCGAUGUCGGCUCGUCUUUUCCUGGGGGUGAAAUAGCUCCCAAGGGUUGUUCUGUUCGCACAUUAAAAAGGCACGCGAGCUGGGUUCAAAACGUCGUGAGACAGUUUGGUCUCUAUCUAGUGUGGGCGCGCGAAAAUUGAAAAGGCAGGUCUCUAGUACGAGAGGACCGAGAUCUAUGUGCCUCUGGUGUAUCGGCUGUUCUGCCAAGAGCAUUGUCGAGUAGCUAUGCAUAGUUAAGAUAACCGCUGAAAGCAUAUAAGCGGGAAGCUGUCUUUAAGAUUAAUUUUCGUUAUAGUAGUAAUACUAUUUUAGGUUCCUUCAAGAUCAGGAGGUAAAUAGGUCACAGAUAUAAGUGUAGUAAUACAUUAAGUCGAGUGAUACUAAUCAACCAAAUUUUAAUUU
Molecule: ribosomal RNA, 3026 nt
Filed under: microbial mat metagenome
Description: bacterial LSU rRNA
Rfam family: Bacterial large subunit ribosomal RNA
Source: RNAcentral